GCUUGGAUGGCUCAGUUGGUUAGAGCGCAGGUCUCAUACGUCCAGUAUGACCACUCCAGUAGUGGGUAAUCCUGAGGUCGUGAGUUCGAUCCUCACUCCGAGCA
Non-coding RNA from Pilatotrama ljubarskyi, 104 nucleotides. The record is from the annotation of a GenBank genome assembly. Lineage: Eukaryota; Fungi; Basidiomycota; Agaricomycetes; Polyporales; Polyporaceae.